UACGUAGGGUGCGAGCGUUGUCCGGAAUUAUUGGGCGUAAAGGGCUCGUAGGCGGUCUGUCGCGUCGAAAGUGAAAACCCAGGGCUUAACCCUGGGCCUGCUUCCGAUACGGGCAGACUAGAGGUAUGCAGGGGAGAACGGAAUUCCUGGUGUAGCGGUGAAAUGCGCAGAUAUCAGGAGGAACACCGGUGGCGAAGGCGGGUCUCUGGGCAACAACUGACGCUGAGGAGCGAAAGCGUGGGGAGCGAACAGG
This 253-nucleotide ribosomal RNA is filed under the name uncultured bacterium. RNAcentral's name for it is "partial 16S ribosomal RNA". It matches the Rfam family "Bacterial small subunit ribosomal RNA", at positions 524 to 776 of the family's 1533-position model. The record is from RNAcentral.